Hippocampus comes (tiger tail seahorse) is the source of this 384-nucleotide long non-coding RNA. RefSeq lists it as uncharacterized. The record is from RefSeq and is a predicted model, not a curated record. NCBI's taxonomy places the organism in Eukaryota, Metazoa, Chordata, Actinopteri, Syngnathiformes, Syngnathidae. The transcript has 2 exons.
GCAAAGUGUAUGGAAUUGCUCUUGUUGUGACACAUGCAUCUGACUUUGAUGCAGACAGCGUGAUUUCAGUUCCGUUUCUGUGACGAUGUGAAUGUCGAGUGUGAAUGUUUGUUCUGUAUCUAGAUGUGACCUGCGACUGACUGGUAACCAGUCCAGGGUGCAGUUUGGCUUUCAAGUGGAGUCAUCUGAGGCUCCUGCUCACCUUGUGCCCAAACAGGAUAAACAGCGUGGAAAAAGGAUGGUUCGAUGAAUGGAUCUGCUGAGAUAUACAGAUAGAGGGACGGGUCAAGGAGGCAGGAACCAAAGGCAGUCAGAAAACCCAAACCAAGGUGUACUGAAGGGCUGAGCGCGACCGCUGGGCAGCAGCGUGUAUGACAGGUAAGG